Molecule: ribosomal RNA, 99 nt
Filed under: uncultured bacterium
Lineage: Bacteria
Description: partial 16S ribosomal RNA
Rfam family: Bacterial small subunit ribosomal RNA (bases 12-99)
Source: RNAcentral
GGCCGCGGGAAUUCGAUUAGAGUUUGAUCCUGGCUCAGGACCAACGCUGGCGGCGUGCUUAACACAUGCAAGUCGAACGAAGAGCGAUGGAAGCUUGCU